CUCUUCUCCCUCUCUUCUCCUCUUCUCUUCUCUUCUCUUCUCCUCCUCUCUUCUCCUCUCCUCUCUCCUCCUCUCCUCUCCUCUCCUCUCCCCUCCUCUCCUCUUCCUCUCCUCUCCUCAUUCAUCCCUCCUUCCACAGCCACAGCAUUCUGUAGAUACAGGAAAACAGGAAGUGACAAGACAACUUGUUCUGGGUGAAAGGUCACUAAGUGGUUUAGACCAGACUAGUAGAUUACGGUAGAUGGAGAUGAGUUGAACUCAACAGGGAAACCACUGAUGGAGUUGAAUGUUCUGGACUUCCAUACUUCAUAUCAAAGGCUUCAUGCACACUGUACGAACAGGUGUAUACAGGUGUAGAUAUGAACAGGUGUAGAUAUGAACAGGUGUAGAUAUGAACAGGUGUAGACAGGUGUAGAUAUGAACAGGUGUAGAUAUGAACAGGUGUAUACAGGUGUAGAUAUGAACAGGUGUAGAUAUGAACAGGUGUAGAUAUGAACAGGUGUAGACAGGUGUAGAUAUGAACAGGUGUAGAUAUGAACAGGUGUAGAUAUGAACAGGUGUAUACAGGUGUAGAUAUGACCAGGUGUAUACAGGUGAAUAUAUGAACAGGUGUAUACAGGUGUAGAUAUGAACAGGUGUAUACAGGUGUAGAUAUGAACAGGUGUAUACAGGUGAAUAUAUGAACAGGUGUAGAUAU
RNAcentral lists this long non-coding RNA (697 nucleotides) under Salmo salar (Atlantic salmon). Its description in RNAcentral is "lncRNA (ENSSSAG00000091786.1)". Lineage: Eukaryota; Metazoa; Chordata; Actinopteri; Salmoniformes; Salmonidae. The record is from RNAcentral.